Molecule: ribosomal RNA, 508 nt
Filed under: uncultured bacterium
Lineage: Bacteria
Description: bacterial SSU rRNA
Rfam family: Bacterial small subunit ribosomal RNA
Source: RNAcentral
GACGAACGCUGGCGGCGUGCCUAAUACAUGCAAGUCGAACGCACUCUCGUUUAGAUUGAAGGAGCUUGCUCCUGAUUGAUAAACAUUUGAGUGAGUGGCGGACGGGUGAGUAACACGUGGGUAACCUGCCCUAAAGUGGGGGAUAACAUUUGGAAACAGAUGCUAAUACCGCAUAAAACCUAACACCGCAUGGUGUAGGGUUGAAAGAUGGUUUCGGCUAUCACUUUAGGAUGGACCCGCGGUGCAUUAGUUAGUUGGUGAGGUAAAGGCUCACCAAGACCGUGAUGCAUAGCCGACCUGAGAGGGUAAUCGGCCACACUGGGACUGAGACACGGCCCAGACUCCUACGGGAGGCAGCAGUAGGGAAUCUUCCACAAUGGACGAAAGUACUGAUGGAGCAAACGCCGCGUGAGUGAAGAAAGGUUUUCGGAUCGUAAAAACUCUGUUGUUGGAGAAGAAAUGUAUCUGAUAGUAACUGAUCAGGUAGUGACGGUAUCCAACCAGAAAG